RNAcentral lists this ribosomal RNA (2343 nucleotides) under Burkholderia cenocepacia. RNAcentral describes it as "bacterial LSU rRNA". It matches the Rfam family "Bacterial large subunit ribosomal RNA", at positions 588 to 2925 of the family's 2925-position model. Lineage: Bacteria; Pseudomonadati; Pseudomonadota; Betaproteobacteria; Burkholderiales; Burkholderiaceae. The record is from RNAcentral.
AAGGGGUGACGGCGUACCUUUUGUAUAAUGGGUCAGCGACUUACGUUCAGUAGCAAGCUUAACCGUAUAGGGCAGGCGUAGCGAAAGCGAGUCCGAAUAGGGCGUUCAGUUGCUGGGCGUAGACCCGAAACCAGGUGAUCUAUCCAUGGCCAGGAUGAAGGUGCGGUAACACGUACUGGAGGUCCGAACCCACUAACGUUGAAAAGUUAGGGGAUGAGCUGUGGAUAGGGGUGAAAGGCUAAACAAACCUGGAAAUAGCUGGUUCUCUCCGAAAACUAUUUAGGUAGUGCCUCGUGUCUCACCUUCGGGGGUAGAGCACUGUCAUGGUUGGGGGGUCUAUUGCAGAUUACCCCGCCAUAGCAAACUCCGAAUACCGAAGAGUGCAAUCACGGGAGACAGACAUCGGGUGCUAACGUCCGGUGUCAAGAGGGAAACAACCCAGACCGCCAGCUAAGGUCCCCAAAUAUAGCUAAGUGGGAAACGAAGUGGGAAGGCUAAAACAGUCAGGAGGUUGGCUUAGAAGCAGCCACCCUUUAAAGAAAGCGUAAUAGCUCACUGAUCGAGUCGUCCUGCGCGGAAGAUGUAACGGGGCUAAGCUAUAUACCGAAGCUGCGGAUGCGAGCUUGCUCGCAUGGUAGGAGAGCGUUCCGUAAGCCUGCGAAGGUGCCUUGUAAAGGGUGCUGGAGGUAUCGGAAGUGCGAAUGCUGACAUGAGUAGCGAUAAAGGGGGUGAAAGGCCCCCUCGCCGUAAGCCCAAGGUUUCCUACGCAACGUUCAUCGGCGUAGGGUGAGUCGGCCCCUAAGGCGAGGCAGAAAUGCGUAGCUGAUGGGAAGCAGGUCAAUAUUCCUGCACCAUUGUUAGAUGCGAUGGGGGGACGGAUCGCGGAAGGUUGUCCGGGUGUUGGAAGUCCCGGUCGCUGCAUUGGAGAAGGCGCUUAGGCAAAUCCGGGCGCAGGAUUCAAGGGUGUGGCGCGAGCUCCUUAGGGAGCGAAGCAAUUGGAAGUGGUUCCAAGAAAAGCCUCUAAGCUUCAGUCUAACGAUGACCGUACCGCAAACCGACACAGGUGGGCGAGAUGAGUAUUCUAAGGCGCUUGAGAGAACUCGGGAGAAGGAACUCGGCAAAUUGGUACCGUAACUUCGGGAUAAGGUACGCCCUUGUAGCUUGACUGGCCUGCGCCAGGAGGGUGAAGGGGUUGCAAUAAACUGGUGGCUGCGACUGUUUAAUAAAAACACAGCACUCUGCAAACACGAAAGUGGACGUAUAGGGUGUGACGCCUGCCCGGUGCCGGAAGAUUAAAUGAUGGGGUGCAAGCUCUUGAUUGAAGUCCCGGUAAACGGCGGCCGUAACUAUAACGGUCCUAAGGUAGCGAAAUUCCUUGUCGGGUAAGUUCCGACCUGCACGAAUGGCGUAACGAUGGCCACACUGUCUCCUCCCGAGACUCAGCGAAGUUGAAGUGUUUGUGAUGAUGCAAUCUACCCGCGGCUAGACGGAAAGACCCCAUGAACCUUUACUGUAGCUUUGCAUUGGACUUUGAACCGAUCUGUGUAGGAUAGGUGGGAGGCUAUGAAACCGGAACGCUAGUUUCGGUGGAGCCGUCCUUGAAAUACCACCCUGGUUUGUUUGAGGUUCUAACCUUGGCCCGUGAUCCGGGUCGGGGACAGUGCAUGGUAGGCAGUUUGACUGGGGCGGUCUCCUCCCAAAGCGUAACGGAGGAGUACGAAGGUACGCUAGGUACGGUCGGAAAUCGUGCUGAUAGUGCAAUGGCAUAAGCGUGCUUAACUGCGAGACCGACAAGUCGAGCAGGUGCGAAAGCAGGUCAUAGUGAUCCGGUGGUUCUGUAUGGAAGGGCCAUCGCUCAACGGAUAAAAGGUACUCUGGGGAUAACAGGCUGAUACCGCCCAAGAGUUCAUAUCGACGGCGGUGUUUGGCACCUCGAUGUCGGCUCAUCUCAUCCUGGGGCUGUAGCCGGUCCCAAGGGUAUGGCUGUUCGCCAUUUAAAGAGGUACGUGAGCUGGGUUUAAAACGUCGUGAGACAGUUUGGUCCCUAUCUGCCGUGGGCGUUGGAUAUUUGAAGGGGGCUGCUCCUAGUACGAGAGGACCGGAGUGGACGAACCUCUGGUGUACCGGUUGUCACGCCAGUGGCAUCGCCGGGUAGCUAUGUUCGGAAGAGAUAACCGCUGAAAGCAUCUAAGCGGGAAACUCGCCUUAAGAUGAGAUAUCCCUGGGGACUAGAUCCCCUUGAAGGGUCGUUCGAGACCAGGACGUUGAUAGGUCAGGUGUGUAAGCGCAGUAAUGCGUUCAGCUAACUGAUACUAAUUGCCCGUAAGGCUUGAUCCUAUAACG